UACUAAAAAUUUCAUCCAUUUUUACGGUUAAAAAAUGGCAUGGUUGAAAAAAUAACGAAAUAGAUACAUGUAGCGUGCCAUAACAUACAAGGAUAAUUUUUAACAAUAGAAAUAGAUAGAAUUUUUAACA
Gossypium raimondii (Peruvian cotton) is the source of this 130-nucleotide non-coding RNA. The record is from Rfam. NCBI's taxonomy places the organism in Eukaryota, Viridiplantae, Streptophyta, Magnoliopsida, Malvales, Malvaceae.